This 504-nucleotide ribosomal RNA is filed under the name uncultured bacterium. RNAcentral describes it as "bacterial SSU rRNA". It matches the Rfam family "Bacterial small subunit ribosomal RNA", at positions 9 to 526 of the family's 1533-position model. The record is from RNAcentral.
GAGUUUGAUCCUGGCUCAGGAUGAACGCUGGCGGCGCGCCUAACACAUGCAAGUCGAACGGAGCUUAGAGAGCUUGCUUUUUAAGCUUAGUGGCGAACGGGUGAGUAACGCGUGAGUAACCUGCCCUAGAGUGGGGGACAACAGUUGGAAACGACUGCUAAUACCGCAUAAGCCCACGGUACCGCAUGGUACUGAGGGAAAAGGAUUUAUUCGCUUUAGGAUGGACUCGCGUCCAAUUAGCUAGUUGGUGAGGUAACGGCUCACCAAGGCGACGAUUGGUAGCCGGACUGAGAGGUUGAACGGCCACAUUGGGACUGAGACACGGCCCAGACUCCUACGGGAGGCAGCAGUGGGGGAUAUUGCACAAUGGGGGAAACCCUGAUGCAGCGACGCCGCGUGGAGGAAGAAGGUUUUCGGAUUGUAAACUCCUGUCGUUAGGGACGAUAAUGACGGUACCUAACAAGAAAGCACCGGCUAACUACGUGCCAGCCGCCGCGGUAAUUC